RNAcentral lists this unclassified non-coding RNA (348 nucleotides) under soil metagenome. RNAcentral describes it as "partial contains 5.8S ribosomal RNA, internal transcribed spacer 2, and large subunit ribosomal RNA". The stretch from base 1 to 120 matches the Rfam family "5.8S ribosomal RNA", at positions 35 to 154 of the family's 154-position model. The record is from RNAcentral.
GAUGAAGAACGCAGCAAAAUGCGAUAAGUAAUGUGAAUUGCAGAAUUCAGUGAAUCAUCGAAUCUUUGAACGCACAUUGCGCCCGCUGGUAUUCCGGCGGGCAUGCCUGUUCGAGCGUCAUUUCAACCCUCAAGCCCCCGGGUUUGGUGUUGGGGAUCGGCUCUGCCCUUCUGGGCGGUGCCGCCCCCGAAAUACAUUGGCGGUCUCGCUGCAGCCUCCAUUGCGUAGUAGCUAACACCUCGCAACUGGAACGCGGCGCGGCCAUGCCGUAAAACCCCAACUUCUGAAUGUUGACCUCGGAUCAUGUAGGAAUACCCGCUGAACUUAAGCAUAUCAAUAAGCGGAGGA